Molecule: long non-coding RNA, 375 nt
Filed under: Homo sapiens (human)
Lineage: Eukaryota; Metazoa; Chordata; Mammalia; Primates; Hominidae
Description: HSALNT0064565
Source: RNAcentral
GUAACUAUGACUUAUUAGAUGCAGGCUUGGCUGAAUAGAAAAUGAACCCACCAGCCUCAUCGGAAGCAAAUCAGAGUUUCCCUUUUGCAAACAGAAUAGAGAGAAUCGGGAAGACUGUGGACCACAUGUCUCCAGUUCCAUUUUCCUGAGCUUACACCUUUCAAUAAGCCCACUCCACCCUGGGGUAGAGGAAGAAGGCUGGGUAAGCUACCAGAUGACACUCCUCACCAACUACCCACCAACACAGAGGGAGAAAAAGCAAACUUUUUGGAGUGAAGAUGAGUGUCCAUUAUGUCAAGAACCUCAAGGGAAACCGGUUCUGCAACUCAGGGGUCCCAUCCCCCUGCCUGUAAGGAACCGGCUGCACAGCACAAG